This is a long non-coding RNA of Homarus americanus (American lobster), 290 nucleotides long. RefSeq lists it as uncharacterized. The record is from RefSeq and is a predicted model, not a curated record. The transcript is spliced from 3 exons. Lineage: Eukaryota; Metazoa; Arthropoda; Malacostraca; Decapoda; Nephropidae.
CUCUGCUAGAAGGCCACACAACACACUGUUGGGAACACUUCAGGUGCAGCUCUGCUAGAUGGCCACACAAACUGUUGGGAACACUUCAGGUGCAGCUCUGCUAGAAGGCCACACAACACACUGUUGGGAACACUUCAGGUGCAGCUCUGCUAGAGGCCACACAAACUGUUGGGAACACUUCAGGUGCAGCUCUGCUAGAAGGCCACACAACACACUGUUGGGAACACUUCAGGUGCAGCUCUGCUAGAAGGCCACACAACACACUGUUGGGAACACUUCAGCAGCUCUGC